AGAGUUUGAUCCUGGCUCAGGACGAACGCUUGCGGCGUGCCUAAGAAAUGCAAGUCGAACGGGAGGGUAACCUCUAGUGGCGAACGGUCGCGUAACACGUAGGCAACCUGCCUCGGAGUGGGGGACAACAGCCUGAAAGGGCUGCUAAUACCGCAUGUUAUUGUUUAGUGGCAUCACUUUACAAUAAAAGCUUAAUGCGC
This 200-nucleotide ribosomal RNA is filed under the name uncultured bacterium. Its description in RNAcentral is "partial 16S ribosomal RNA". It matches the Rfam family "Bacterial small subunit ribosomal RNA", at positions 8 to 218 of the family's 1533-position model. The record is from RNAcentral.